UUUUGGGUCUAGAGAAACUUUAUAAUGAAAAACAUUUAAGAAUUUACUGUAAAAAAUAUAGUGUGCUUUCCUGUAUAUUAUUAAGCAGCCGUCUUAUUUUUUAUCAACUACAAUACAUCGGUGGGAAAACAUUUCUCAUGAUAUCGGUCAUAUUGAAUAACUAUCCAAUAUCCAAGUCCAUGAGCCCAAAACUCCUUUCUUAAAAACAAUUAACCUUUUCUGCUUUUGGUAGUUGAAACAAAGCCACAUAUUACA
Long non-coding RNA from Gasterosteus aculeatus aculeatus (three-spined stickleback), 255 nucleotides. NCBI's taxonomy places the organism in Eukaryota, Metazoa, Chordata, Actinopteri, Perciformes, Gasterosteidae. The record is from Ensembl.